GGGGUUCAAAUCUUGAUAACUCUCAUUUCAUUUAAAAAUUUAUGAGGAACCAAACGAAGGCAUGAAUGUAAAUUCAUACCUACCCCGAAUCAAUUUGUCUACCAGAUCAUAAUGCCUGGCACAUAAAUGUCUUAGCCAUUUCAUGCGGGAGAAUUGUUUGGUAAAGGUUGCUGGGAUAAAAGCACUGCUCAUCUGAAUCUCACUUGAUAGCCAAAGGAACAAAUUUUGUUGUAUAAGAGCCUAUAUAAUGCUAAUGCUGCUGCUGCUGCUAAUUCUUUGAUUACUUGGUAGCUAUGACAGAGUUGCCAAAGUGAUCAGAGUUUGAAACACAAUAAAAAAAACUAAACCCAAACUUGAAUAUUACAUGAAUCAAACAUCUUUGAAUUCAGGUAAGGGGAUGAUAUUGAAAAACAAAUUCCCUGACCAACUUCACAGACCUAUGCUAUAAAGUAUACAAGCAAAGGUUUCAAUCUUCUGUGCAUAAUAUUAAAUAAAACAAGAAAUUCAUUAAAGAAAAUAAUUAGAAAAAAAAAGGGAACAACACUAGAGAAAGAAAUCGGAAACAAAAAACUAGAUACAUGAAAAACCAAGAUCCAGAACACCGAAACUAAUACCUCUUCCCAAGAAUUAUGCCAAUGAUGAUAGAUACAACGGCCAAUCCCAAAAUAAACUUAAUGUUCAUGGCUUGAGAAACCUGUGUAGUUUGAACAUGCGUCUCCGAAGAGGAUGAUGUUUGUGCAGAUGCAGCCUCUAACUUUUUCUUACUCUUCCUUUUUGUGGGAGCAGAAAUGGUUGAUCCAAUGUCUCUGGAUUUGAUUUCUGUUCCAUCAUUAUGUUCAGCCAAAUUGCCUUCAUCACCCUUUUGUAGUAAUUUUUCAUCAGCAAGUUGCAAUUUAUGCUCAAGCUCCUUUACUUGCUUCUCCAGAAGUAUGAUUUCCUUGUUCU
RNAcentral lists this unclassified non-coding RNA (945 nucleotides) under Hevea brasiliensis (rubber tree). Lineage: Eukaryota; Viridiplantae; Streptophyta; Magnoliopsida; Malpighiales; Euphorbiaceae. The record is from RNAcentral.